CCUACGGGUGACAGCAGUGAGGAAUAUUGGUCAAUGGUCGGGAGACUGAACCAGCCAAGCCGCGUGAGGGAUGAAGGUACAGAGUAUCGUAAACCUCUUUUGUCAGGGAACAAAGGCGGGGACGUGUCCCCGGCUGAGUGUACCUGAAGAAAAAGCAUCGGCUAACUCCGUGCCAGCAGCCGCGGUAAUACGGAGGAUGCGAGCGUUAUCCGGAUUUAUUGGGUUAAAAGGGUGCGCAGGCGGUCUGUUAAGUCAGCGGUCAAAGCCCGGGGCUCAACCCCGGCCCGCCGUUGAAACUGGCAGUCUCGAGUUGGAGAGAAGUAGGCGGAAUGCGCGGUGUAGCGGUGAAAUGCAUAGAUAUCGCGCAGAACUCCGAUUGCGAAGGCAGCAUGCCGGCUCCACACUGACGCUGAGGCACGAAAGCGUGGGUAUCGAACAGGAUUAGAUACCCCAGUAGUC
RNAcentral lists this ribosomal RNA (459 nucleotides) under uncultured bacterium. RNAcentral describes it as "partial 16S ribosomal RNA". It matches the Rfam family "Bacterial small subunit ribosomal RNA", at positions 338 to 795 of the family's 1533-position model. The record is from RNAcentral.